Lolium rigidum is the source of this 3982-nucleotide long non-coding RNA. RefSeq lists it as uncharacterized. The record is from RefSeq and is a predicted model, not a curated record. The transcript has 10 exons. Lineage: Eukaryota; Viridiplantae; Streptophyta; Magnoliopsida; Poales; Poaceae.
CCGAGCUCGGGAUGUGCCCUUGCUGGAGCCUCAGCCUCUCCCCAACCCCUAAUCCUCUAGAUCUUGCAGCCAGACGUCCGCACACCUAGGGUUUUCUCACCCUCCUCUCUCUGUCAUCCGGCUGCAGCGCGAGAACGGGGUGAGGUGAAGGGCAGAGAAGACCUCCUCGUCCAUCCCGAUCCCGACCUGGAGCAUGGCGGCGGCCGCCCCGUCCUUCCCGGCGUGCUGGUUGUGCUGAUUCUAGGCUGGACAGGUCGGUGCUGGACCUCAAGGGCGCCUGCUCCACCUACAUCCUCUUUGUAGUGAAAGUGAAGCAGAGCAAGGAAAUCAUAAGGGAGGCAACGGGGAAGGGAAGGCAGAUUGAACCUCUCCAGAAUUCUGCUGCUAUCAACCAAGGCCGGCACCUUUUGCGUUCCCAAGCCUGCUCACGUACAAGGACGAGUACAGAUGGGGAUUCCAAUGUUCUUGAAGAGGAGUUGAGGGGUGUACGUGGGAGGCACCAGUAGCAGCAGCACCUCUGCCCUCACAGCUCAAGUCCGCAAGCCUGCAGUAUGCUUAAAUUACACUAAAGGUUCAGGAAAACCAUCCUCUUUGUUCCAAUAAAGGUUGGAUAUUUACCUGAAGUUUAAUUAGUUUUCCAAAAUUUUGAGCGGUCUGUCCGAAUCCAGUUUUCUUGAGAGGCUUUGUACUAUGAGCAGAGAGCAAAUUAUAUUAUAUGUAUUGUUACAGAUGAUACAAUUGUUUUGAGCACAGAGGGUAAGAAAGGUAGUUUUUUAAUGAACAAGGAUGCAAAGCUUGUUGAUAUUAAUACUAUGAAAUUCCUCUAUGUGGAAUAUACUGCAUGUUAUCUCUUUUGUUGAACAAAUUUCUGAAAUUACAUUUAUUGUGUCCUUUGUAUAGAUAGAUGCAUCAAUGGUUUUUUGCAUGAUGCAUUUUAUCUGGAUCAGCCUGACAAGCCUACGAUUUGGACUGAAGCUUGGACUGGAUGGCAAUGCAAAUGGUUUGGGAGCAUAAGCGCUAUGAAUGCUCAGUCAGAAGAGCAUAAUCUGAGGUAUUUCAAGGAUCAUCCACCUGCCAAGCUUUGCAAAGUUGAUGCAUUUCUGAAAACAAUCCUAGACAUAUUGUUUGCAUUCAUGAGGCUGGAUGCUAUGCUCUAUGUCUCUAACUUUUAUCUGGAUUUCAAUCAGCUAAGAAUCUCCUAUGCUACUCUUGAGGCAGCCUGCCAGGAGCCGAAGAGCAGCAGGUAGAGGGUUCUUGGUGCUGCUCUGAAUUUCGGCAACCUGAUGAGCAUCAACACAGGUUCUCCAAACUCACAACAGAUGCACCCACUAGGAUAUGUAAAACAUUCGAGGGAGCAAUGAGGCAACCACCGACAAUUACACUUGCCUUUGAAUUCCUCCUAGAUGAGAUGCAUGUUUUGACAUGCAAAGCAACGAUUAGCUUUGCUCUGAAACAUUUGAAGUUAAGUUCAGUAUUUGUGUUGCCUCACCUCAUAUUGUGCUUUUAUGUACAUCAAAACCUAUGAUUUUAGAGUUAUUUGGUUUCUCACCAAAUUAGUAAAUAAAUAAUAAUAAGACCCAACUAUUGUCAUGGAUUUUUAGAUUUCCAGAUUUUUCUUUUAGUGCUACUUGAUGUAUGCAUAAAUUUUUGCCUUUGGUUAAAUCAAGUUGUUUGCUAUCCUGCAGAAAUUAAUAAUAUGUCUUUCAUCAGAGAAUAUUUCCAUGGUGGAUCGUCUGCAUGACUGGAACAGACAGUGGUGAAGCAUAGGAGUGACGAGCCGCGUGGAAGACACGGAGACGUCGAGGAGAUACCCUUCCCUACAGCAACAAGAUUGGUUUGCUUGGGUGGAGCCUAAGGUUGGUGGCGAUCUAAGUAAAAUGCAGACAAUUGGCUACCAUAAUGUUGAACAAAGGGCACACAUAAAUUGGUUGGGCGCCUACCAUCACGCCCGAGUUGAAGAAAGACCUUCAGAUUUUGCAGGUAUGGUGUUCCGUUGGGUGAAUUGUUCUUAGUGGUAUACUUUUGUGUGGGGCUGCACUUUUGUAAAUGUGAAAAACAGAUAUUACUUUCUUUGAGCAUGUAGGAACAACAUAGGUGAUGCAUCGCUAAUUACAUUUUGCCGGAACAUUCUUCAUUAUGAUGGUAUCUCCUAUACAAUACUUUCUUUCUCUGGAUAUAGAUAGAAGGGAGUUUUGCUUCAGAAACAAAUUUACUGAACUGAGUAGGGAAAGCACAAUAUUAAGUUCAUGGCUCCACUUAGAACCUCAGAGUUUUGGCUAUUUGUUCAGUUUUUGGUCUUUAUUGCUAUUUUAUAGGCUAUAUGCAUGGCCAUUCAGUAUGUUCCUUAAACCGGUGGUUUAGUGUCUGCCUAUCAAACUAGGGUGUGGAAGGACAAAUAUCAAGUCCAUCUGAUGAAACACAGAGAUGCCAAAUCCACCAUUACAACUAACUUCAUAAGAUUUUUCCUGGACUUCUGCGAUCAAGGAAGGCCAUGUCUAUACCUUUGUCUUAAUUGUUUGAAAGGAUAAUUAUCUGUCAUGGUCUAUUUCCUUUGAAAAGACUGGCAACAAACAAUGAGGACAAACAGUAUGUUCAAGAUGUGUGGUCAAGCUACUAAUGUUUUUAGAUCAGUUUCUUAUAUAUAUUCCUGGGAUCUACUACUGUUCCAUGGGCCAUGCAUGGCAAGAAACUAUAUAAGCUUUCUACUGCCUGCUAUCCUUAUAUAUUUUCUACUGCCUUUUGGCUUAUUGAGGCUGGACGUACUGCACUGGUAAUGCAUGUAUUUGCCAUUUUUCUUAGAUGCUCUGUACUUCCGUUUGAAUCACCAGUGGCUGGAAGAGGCGCCGCACGACAAGACGCAAAACUGAAAUCUGAUUCCCUCCUACAAUAUAAUCAACUUACAAUAAUAGAUACAUACAAUGAAUCUAUAUUUCUACCCCUCGGUUACUUCUGGUUUGAUCAGAACUGACCCCAUCAUUUUCUAUUUUACAAUUGUGAGAAUAAUGUGAACUCUGCAUGUAUGUGACCUUACUGGUUCUGAGUACAUCAAUAAGUGGUGAAAAGGUUUUCCAAAGUCGAUUUUAUUUGUAUCAUCUGUACAGGAAGACAUUGUUCUACUGUAUCAUGACAUGUCAAUUGCUUGGUAAGUUUGCUGGAAUUCUUAAUCAAUAAAAGUUGGUCGAUAAAUGAAAUUGUCACGUUUUGUCUAGACUGAUCCAAGAAAGGAGAAGAGCAAUGAGAAUCUGGAAUUUCCACAUAACACGAAACAAGUAGUUGGGAUUUUCCACAUAUUUUAUGGAUAAUUUUGACUUGUUUAUUCUUUCAGGUGUGACUCCAUGAGAAAUGAAUUCCUACUAAGCUAUUGGAGAUAUAACGUCUGACUGCAUUAUCACCUUCCAAGCAAAGAAUGUCCCGCAUCAAAAUUACUUUUAUUUUGAAUUUAAUUUUGGUAGGCCUGUGUAUUUUAAUAUCCUGAGUGUAAUAUGUAGGAUGGCAAUGUUGUUCUUUUUAACAUGGUCAUGUAGAAAUUGGUAAGAAAGAAUGAAAGUGCACAUAUUUUAAACCAGCUUUUAUUCUCUUUCUUCCUCAAGCAUGCUCAGUAGUAGGUUUACACUAAAUUUUUUUUAUGCCUAUCUGGUCACCUACAAAAGCUCUAUCUCUAAUAUGUUAUAUCUAUUCCAGGAUACUAGAGCACUUCAACUAAUGUCUCAAAACCACUGGCUGCCUCUAGAGCGUGACAAGCUGAUGAAUAAGUUGUUGCCCAUACUCAUGCUAAUAAAGAGUUCAUUAUUCUUAGGGGUUAGAUGGUUUUUAAGUUAGGCUAACAAUUAUGAUGGCGCUGUGACUCAUGGACAAGUUUGCUUAAUCAGCACAACUUGUUAUGUUCAAGUGCAUAUACAGAAGCACUUUCAAUGUGGUUAUUUGUGUGCUAAUAGAAAUUGCUGUAUUUGUGCUCAUGAGAAACACAUCAAAACUCGUGCUA